GAUGAACGCUGGCGGCGUGCCUAAUACAUGCAAGUCGAGCGAACAGACGAGGAGCUUGCUCCUCUGACGUUAGCGGAGGACGGGUGAGAAACACGUGGAAAACCUACCUAUAAGACUGGGAAAACUUCGGGAAACCGGAGCAAAUACCGGAUAAUAUAUUGAACCGCAUGGUUCAAUAGUGAAAGACGGUUUUGCGGUCACUUGUAGAUGGAUUCGCGCCGCAUUAGCUAGUUGGGAAGGUACCGGCUUAUCAAGGCUACGACGGGUAGCCGACCUGGGGGGGUGACCGGCCACAUUGGGACUGAGAUACGGCCCAGACUGCUACGGGAGGCAGCAGUGGGGAAUAGUGAACAAUGGGCGGAAGCCUGAUGCAGCAACGCCGCGUGCGGGAUGACGGCCUUCGGGUUGUAAACCGCUUUCGCCUGUGACGAAGCGUGAGUGACGGUAAUGGGUAAAGAAGCACCGGCUAACUACGUG
RNAcentral lists this ribosomal RNA (477 nucleotides) under uncultured bacterium. RNAcentral describes it as "partial 16S ribosomal RNA". It matches the Rfam family "Bacterial small subunit ribosomal RNA", at positions 28 to 507 of the family's 1533-position model. The record is from RNAcentral.